UAGGGAAUAUUGGGCAAUGGACGAAAGUCUGACCCAGCCAUGCCGCGUGCAGGAAGAAGGCCUUCUGGGUUGUAAACUGCUUUUGAUCGGGAACAAAGAAUCCAUGCGUGGAUAGUUGAGUGUACCGAUAGAAUAAGCACCGGCUAACUCCGUGCCAGCAGCCGCGGUAAUACGGAGGGUGCAAGCGUUGUCCGGAUUUAUUGGGUUUAAAGGGUGCGUAGGCGGUCUUUUAAGUCAGUGGUGAAAGCCUCCAGCUUAACUGGAGAACUGCCAUUGAUACUGGAAGACUUGAGUACAGACGAGGUAGGCGGAAUUGACAGUGUAGCGGUGAAAUGCAUAGAUAUUGUCAAGAACACCGAUUGCGAAGGCAGCUUACUAGACUGUAACUGACGCUGAGGCACGAAAGUGUGGGGAUCAAACA
This 421-nucleotide ribosomal RNA is filed under the name uncultured Sporocytophaga sp. Its description in RNAcentral is "bacterial SSU rRNA". It matches the Rfam family "Bacterial small subunit ribosomal RNA", at positions 355 to 774 of the family's 1533-position model. Lineage: Bacteria; Pseudomonadati; Bacteroidota; Cytophagia; Cytophagales; Cytophagaceae. The record is from RNAcentral.